UACAGAGGGUGCAAGCGUUGUUCGGAAUCAUUGGGCGUAAAGGGCGUGUAGGCGGUUUGUUAAGUCAUGUGUGAAAUCCCCUCGGCUCAACCGGGGAACGACGCUUGAAACUGGCAAGCUAGAGUACCAAAGAGGGCGGGUGGAAUUCCCGGUGUAGCGGUGAAAUGCGCAGAUAUCAGGAGGAACACCGGUGGCGAAGGGCGGGGU
RNAcentral lists this ribosomal RNA (207 nucleotides) under uncultured bacterium. Its description in RNAcentral is "partial 16S ribosomal RNA". It matches the Rfam family "Bacterial small subunit ribosomal RNA", at positions 524 to 728 of the family's 1533-position model. The record is from RNAcentral.